CCUACGGGCGGCAGCAGUGAGGAAUAUUGGUCAAUGGGCGGAAGCCUGAACCAGCCAAGUAGCGUGCAGGAUGACGGCCCUACGGGUUGUAAACUGCUUUUAUACGGGAAUAACGCGCCUUACGUGUAGUGCUUUGCAUGUACCGUAUGAAUAAGGACCGGCUAAUUCCGUGCCCGCAGCCGCGGUAAUACGGAAGGUCCGGGCGUUAUCCGGGUUUAUUGGGUUUAAAGGGAGCGUAGGGCGCAUUUCCAGCGUGCUGUGAAAUGUUCGGGCUCAACCCGGGCCUUGCCGUGCGAACUGGCGUGCUUGAGUCCGCGGAAAGCAUGCGGAAUUCGUCGUGUAGCGGUGAAAUGCUUAGAUAUGACGAAGAACCCCGAUUGCGAAGGCAGCUUGCUGCAGCGGAACUGACGCUGAUGCUCGAAAGCGCGGGUAUCGAACAGGAUUAGAUACCCCAGUAGUC
RNAcentral lists this ribosomal RNA (460 nucleotides) under uncultured bacterium. RNAcentral's name for it is "partial 16S ribosomal RNA". It matches the Rfam family "Bacterial small subunit ribosomal RNA", at positions 338 to 795 of the family's 1533-position model. The record is from RNAcentral.